This 384-nucleotide long non-coding RNA is filed under the name Vitis vinifera (wine grape). RNAcentral's name for it is "long non-coding RNA (VVIN_LNC005395)". The record is from RNAcentral. Lineage: Eukaryota; Viridiplantae; Streptophyta; Magnoliopsida; Vitales; Vitaceae.
UUUUUUUAUCUUAAUAUUUUUAUAGUAAGUUUGGUGUAUUCCAUUCCAACAAUUUUUGAAGCUAAACCCAAUUAUUUUAGGUUUUUUGGAAGUGACCAAUAUAAGUUUUUUUGAGAACCUCUUUUACCCCUUAGUAUUUUUCUCAUUGGCUUCUUUCUCUCCCGCCUAUUUUCUCUUUGGUUUCCUUCUAUUUUCUCUCCAUCCAAACACUCUUUUUCUUCAUUCUUCUUCCUCUUCUUUUCCUUUCUCCAUUUCUUUCUCCUUUUUUUGCUUCUUCCUCAUCUAAGGUAGUUUCGUUGUCACAACUCCUCUAAUGCCACAAUGGGCUAGUAACAUCCACAUUAUGAUGCCUCAAUGUUGGAGUUUCUCAUCACAACUCCUCAU